Long non-coding RNA from Haliotis rubra (blacklip abalone), 297 nucleotides. RefSeq lists it as uncharacterized. Lineage: Eukaryota; Metazoa; Mollusca; Gastropoda; Lepetellida; Haliotidae. The record is from RefSeq and is a predicted model, not a curated record. The transcript has 3 exons.
GGCGUGACGAGCGAACGCUUUAACCACUUGGCUACCCCACCGCCCCAUAUCCAUCAAUGAAAAGCAGUACGAAAAACUUUUCAAUUCACAAGUAUUUUAUACGCAUUAAUUUACACAUGAGAAGAGACUCGGUGUUAUCUUUUUUUUUCAAAAUGUGUUUUGGUGAUCAUCGUAAUGGAAAUAACGUGAUUAAUGUGUGAAACGAAUGGGUUCACUGAGUACAGAGUCGCCAUGGCAUCACGGGAUAGGAUGGUCACUUCCGGUCCAUGAAAUACGACCUCAUUCGUGACCACUCGC